ACUACGGGGAGCUGCAGUGAGGAAUAUUGGUCAAUGGGCGCGAGCCUGAACCAGCCAAGUAGCGUGAAGGAUGACUGCCCUACGGGUUGUAAACUUCUUUUAUAAAGGAAUAAAGUGAGGCACGUGUGCCUUUUUGUAUGUAAGUUAUGUAUAAGGAUCGGCUAACUCCGUGCCAGCAGCCGCGGUAAUACGGAGGAUCCGAGCGUUAUCCGGAUUUAUUGGGUUUAAAGGGAGCGUAGAUGGGUUGUUAAGUCAGUUGUGAAAGUUUGCGGCUCGACCGUAAAAUUGCAAUUGAUACUGGCAGUCUUGAGUACAGUUGAGGUAGGCGGAAUUCGUUGUGUAGCGGUGAAAUGCUUAGAUAUCACGAAGAACUCCGAUUGCGAAGGCAGCUUACUAAACUGCCACUGACAUUGAUGCUCGAAAGUGUGGGUAUCAAACAGGAUUAGAUACCCCAGUAGUC
This 460-nucleotide ribosomal RNA is filed under the name uncultured bacterium. RNAcentral's name for it is "partial 16S ribosomal RNA". It matches the Rfam family "Bacterial small subunit ribosomal RNA", at positions 338 to 795 of the family's 1533-position model. The record is from RNAcentral.